UAACCCACAUGUUAGUUGAGGAACAGCUUCAAGCUGGUCAUUUAGAGACUAUGCUCAGCCCUUGGAACACACCCAUCUUUAUAAUUAAGAAAAAAUCUGGUAAUUAGAGAUUAUCACAAGACCUUAGAGCUAUUAACCGUGUUAUAGAACCUAUGGGAGCAUUACAAUCUGGGCUUCGUUCUCCUACAGCUGUGACUUUAAAUUAUAAUUUGAUAGUAGUAGAUCUAAAAGGAUGUUUUUUCUCUAUACCUUUGCACCCAGAUGACUGGAAAAGGUUUGCCUCUAG
Molecule: small RNA, 286 nt
Filed under: Marmota monax (woodchuck)
Lineage: Eukaryota; Metazoa; Chordata; Mammalia; Rodentia; Sciuridae
Source: RNAcentral